UGGGGAAUAUUGCACAAUGGGCGCAAGCCUGAUGCAGCCAUGCCGCGUGUGUGAAGAAGGCCUUCGGGUUGUAAAGCACUUUCAGCGGGGAGGAAGGCGAUAAGGUUAAUAACCUUGUCGAUUGACGUUACCCGCAGAAGAAGCACCGGCUAACUCCGUGCCAGCAGCCGCGGUAAUACGGAGGGUGCAAGCGUUAAUCGGAAUUACUGGGCGUAAAGCGCACGCAGGCGGUCUGUCAAGUCGGAUGUGAAAUCCCCGGGCUCAACCUGGGAACUGCAUUCGAAACUGGCAGGCUAGAGUCUUGUAGAGGGGGGUAGAAUUCCAGGUGUAGCGGUGAAAUGCGUAGAGAUCUGGAGGAAUACCGGUGGCGAAGGCGGCCCCCUGGACAAAGACUGACGCUCAGGUGCGAAAGCGUGGGGAGCAAGCAGG
RNAcentral lists this ribosomal RNA (429 nucleotides) under Chloroflexota bacterium. RNAcentral's name for it is "Chloroflexi bacterium partial 16S ribosomal RNA". It matches the Rfam family "Bacterial small subunit ribosomal RNA", at positions 355 to 776 of the family's 1533-position model. The record is from RNAcentral. Lineage: Bacteria; Bacillati; Chloroflexota.